CUCUUCAAACUAUAUGGUUUUAUUAUGCAGUUGCCACGGGAAGCACAUGAGAGCUGUCAGAAACCUAGAACAUAGCCCUGGGUGCUAAGCUUGGAAAUGAAGUCACAGGGUUCAGUUUUUGAAGAACAAAUGUGGGUCUGAAGCUUCGGCAAACAAACACAAACAUGACAAGCUGCUUCCACAUCGCUCCUUGUAUCUGGAAGACUGGAACACUAUUAUUCACUUAUCCAGUGUCUCCUGUGGCUCCCGCAGAGGCAUUAACCUGUACUGUUUGCAGGGCUCUGUUAUGA
This 290-nucleotide long non-coding RNA is filed under the name Cricetulus griseus (Chinese hamster). Its description in RNAcentral is "lncRNA (ENSCGRG00000026543.1)". Lineage: Eukaryota; Metazoa; Chordata; Mammalia; Rodentia; Cricetidae. The record is from RNAcentral.